GACGAACGCUGGCGGCGUGCUUAACACAUGCAAGUCGAACGGAAAGGCCCUGCUUUUGUGGGGUGCUCGAGUGGCGAACGGGUGAGUAACACGUGAGUAACCUGCCCUUGACUUUGGGAUAACUUCAGGAAACUGGGGCUAAUACCGGAUAGGAGCUCCUGCUGCAUGGUGGGGGUUGGAAAGUUUCGGCGGUUGGGGAUGGACUCGCGGCUUAUCAGCUUGUUGGUGGGGUAGUGGCUUACCAAGGCUUUGACGGGUAGCCGGCCUGAGAGGGUGACCGGCCACAUUGGGACUGAGAUGCGGCCCAGACUCCUACGGGAGGCAGCAGUGGGGAAUAUUGCACAAUGGGCGGAAGCCUGAUGCAGCAACGCCGCGUGCAGGAUGACGGCCUUCGGGUUGUAAACCGCUUUCGCCUGUGACGAAGCGUGAGUGACGGUAAUGGGUAAAGAAGCACCGGCUAACUACGUG
This 468-nucleotide ribosomal RNA is filed under the name uncultured bacterium. RNAcentral's name for it is "partial 16S ribosomal RNA". It matches the Rfam family "Bacterial small subunit ribosomal RNA", at positions 28 to 507 of the family's 1533-position model. The record is from RNAcentral.